CCAUGGAUUUAUUAAUGGGAAUAAAGUAGAUAAUAUCUUUGUCUAUGCAUUCUCAAUUGUUUUGAUGCAACAUCAUCAACAAUUUCUUGACAUCACCCAUAAUUAUUGUAUGACAUCAGAGGAGUGACAUUAUUAGAAUUUAUUUCACAUGUGAAAUUGUAUUGCAUUGGGAAAUCACAUGAUUCUUAUAAAUGAGAAUGAGAAAGAGC
Molecule: long non-coding RNA, 209 nt
Filed under: Mytilus galloprovincialis (Mediterranean mussel)
Lineage: Eukaryota; Metazoa; Mollusca; Bivalvia; Mytilida; Mytilidae
Source: RNAcentral